GAAAAGUUAGUUAAACAAUAUAACAUAGUUUUGUCAAGACUAAAUUACUAAUCAAUUAAAUAGUACUUUUUA
This 72-nucleotide transfer RNA is filed under the name Ctenolepisma villosum. RNAcentral describes it as "Ctenolepisma villosa tRNA-Asp". Lineage: Eukaryota; Metazoa; Arthropoda; Insecta; Zygentoma; Lepismatidae. The record is from RNAcentral.